RNA transcript from Drosophila pseudoobscura, 5685 nucleotides. It is a transcript of the gene named kairos, with no coding region annotated. NCBI's taxonomy places the organism in Eukaryota, Metazoa, Arthropoda, Insecta, Diptera, Drosophilidae. The transcript is spliced from 6 exons. The record is from RefSeq and is a predicted model, not a curated record.
ACAAGCUCCACUCUUCAUCCAGAUUGAGACCGAUGCGGUCCUCGUGGGUCGUCGGCUCUGCUGCUGCUGCUUCUGCUGCUUGCUGCCUGCUGCUGCUGCCAUGGUAGCCAUCGUACGUCAUUCGGGUCUUUCAUUCUCGUGUUCAUCGUCCUUGCUGCUGGCCACAAUAACGGCACUGGCGCUCCUGUGCUACUGCUCCGACGCAUCCAUCCUCCACUGCUUUGAACAGCACCGCGACAACCAGUUGGACUCUGCUCCCGAAUCCGGAGACGCUGUAUGACGAACCAAAACAUCCUAAAAACUACACGAAAAUAACUGAGAAUCGGCCCAAUAAAAUCGAAAACUGAAAAUCAAGCGACAAUCAACCUUAAAUACCAUAAAUUCACCGAGUUUCCGGCAUUAUAGGAGAGAAGCAUAGCAAAGCAAAAAGUAAAUAACUAAAAGUAAUAAAAUAUAGCAUAAGCCCCAGGAAAAGCAGAGAGAACAUAAGAAGGAAGAGGCGAGGCUAAAGUGUCAAGUAGGACAUCAGAAGACGUUUUUCCACUGGCUGUCAAAAUAGAAAUUGUAUAAAAUGGAUGCGCUGCGCUUACGUGGUUCGCAAUUCAAUCGUUAUGGAGGCAGCUCAGGGUCAGGCGGCAACAACCCGAACCAGCCUCCGCCACCGCAGGUGCACAGCAAGCCGGAGCCUUUGAUUGUAGUGGAGGAGUCCAACUUGCCGGAGGAACUGGAGGACAGCUCAGAGACAACCUUUUCGAAUCGCGCCAGUCUGGACAUUGACUCGCCCGUAAACCCCUAUUUGCUCUCCCCUUGGCGGGAUCCGCGCGAGGCCCGUAAGCACUCGCUGCCCUCACAGCAGGUGACCGAUGGAAUCACCGCCAGUCAGGUGAGGCGUCUGUCCGAGCGCGGCGGCGAAGGAUCCGGUCCAUCGCCCAAGGAGGCCGCCUUCCUCGCCACCCUCUCACAAGCGCCGGCCCCAUCUGGACGUCGCCACUCAGUGGUCACCAUCUCCAAGGUGCCCACCACUCUCUUUGGACGUUCGCGCCGUGAAUCGGUGGCCGCCUAUCCGAGCAGCAAUGGCAGCAGCCGUGUGCUCAACUCACGGCGGGAGAGCAACACGGGUCCUCCCUCUACAGACCCCAUCGGCAGCAUCCAUAACUUGCAGCUGGACAUUAUGGACGACAUAUAUUUGCAGUCACGAAAGGCCCGUUUAAAGCUAUGGACCUCCAGCAAUGAGAAGGUCUGUGAGGUACAGACCGUUGACGAGGCCGGGACCGCGGCCCCGGGUAGGCGCUACACCAACCGCCGCUUUUCGGAGUGCCCCCAGCCGCAGCCGGCCAGCAGCUUUCGCCGGGCCUCUGAAUAUCCGCAUCCACCGCCGCAGCCGCAUCCGCAGGCACAAACACACGGACAUGGGCACGCGCCUUCAUCGCAGAAGAGCAUCUCGCCCCAGCCGCCGUUGUCGGCCAGGGCCUCGACACGCCGCAAGAAGUCGGGCAGUGGCGUAGGCCUGCUUGGAAGCCGCACGGACAUCGCUGGGAUCUUCAGCUCUUUGACCAGCUCUGCCAUGGACAUGCACCGCUCAGAGCCGGAGGGGAGCUCCAGUGCCAGUGCCAGCUCUUCAGCGGCCACCGCUGGAAGCAGCCCGUUUCUCAGCCAGACGUUCCAAAACGCCGCCCGGGGCCGCGCUACUAGUGCCACGCCUACGCCCACGGCCCACACUGGGGGGCAGGCGGCCGCAGCAAGCAGCAGCUCACUGCUAGACCCAAAUGCAGGCCGCUCCACACGAUCCAACAGCUUCGACGUCUCGAUCCUGAACAACGCCAAGCAGUUGGUGAGCGAGGCGCAGGACAACAGCUCUGCCGCCAUAUCCGGGUGGUUCGGCAAGCCGGCAAGUCGCCCACAGCCGUUGGCGCGAAAGAAAAGUGUGCGCAGCAAGAGCACGGCCAUGGCCCUCUCAAAGGACAUGUUGGAGCGAUUGCAGAAGAAGGACCCGCUCGGCGGAGACUCCGGAAAACCGAAGCUCAAGCCGCGCAGCAAGCAGAAGAGCUGGGCCGACACCACCAAGGCGAACAUCGUGGAUGCGACCAUGCUGGGCACGGCGAUCGAGGGUUUCUUACGCAAGAGCUCCAAUGCCGGGAUGGCCGGAGCCGGAGGUUCUAGCGGUCCGUCCACAUCGGCGGCGGUCCGCGGGGCUGUUCCCAAGGAGUCAAACAGCGCCACCGGCAGUCCGGCCGGAGCCCGUCGCAGCCGGGCGUCCGCGGGCAGUGGCGCCCAGUCUCAGGCCGGGCGGGCAAUGCGCUCCACUCUCAACUGGUUCAGCAAGGGCGAGGAGGAUGACUCGAAGGAUACGUGCGAUGCGUCGUUGUGUUCGACACUCAAGGACCUAUUCGUGAAAUAGGUCGGGGGACGCAGAGGCAAGUAAAGCUCUGGGACUGACCCACCAACAGAUCCUGGCCGUUCAGCAAAGGCGAGCUACUUGUAUCUCUGAGAUCCGGAAAUAUUCGUAUCAUUUGUUAACCAUCGGAAGAAGCCGACAGGUAAAGCGAACUUCAACACCAGACACCAGUUAGGCAGCGAACAAAAAGAGUACCCGCACACUUCAUUGUCACCGUCAAUCUAAAUGUUUUGGCAGAGAGCCGUAAUACUAUUUUGAACAUCAUUUGCAGCCAAUGGAACACUCUUUCGAAGAGUAAAUAAUAAUUGAAACACUAUAUUGAACAGUUUAUUAGAUGCAAUACUAGUUGGAACAGUUUAUAAUCAAGAUUACGAUUUACGGCAGCUGAAGCAGCCAUAUUGGCACUGCAGAGUUCUAAUAAUAGAUCUCUUCAGAAAAAUAUACAUGUUCAUACUAGUUACUAGUAUAAGUGCAUAAGCAUAUCACUCACAUACCAACCAACACGAGCCAUUGAGACAGUGACGACCCGACCCAAUCAUUCAUCGUAAUAGACAAACAGUCACAAUAGCAUAGUUGUAUAAGCUGACAGUCAAACAUAUUUACAGAUCACUUACAGUAACUGAACGAGAACAUAGAUAUGUGAGACAAACGAAUGCCUAACAGUAAGUGCAGUAAGUGGAACAGGAAUAAUGAGUAUUGGAACAAUAACCGUGCCUCUAACACUAAUAACAACUGAUACAAACUCAGUCACACGAACAUUGACACUAACACUAAGCAAAGUAGCAAAUAAUGCAAAAACGGUAAAAGUAUAACUAACUGAAAAGCAUAGUACAAGUAAUAGUAAAUGAAGCAAUAGUAACACUAACACUAAAACUAACAAUAACAGUAACACAAGCAGUGCCCACUUAGAAUAGCACUCGCACAGGUUGCAACUGAAUUACUUACAGUCACACUAAUCAGUAACGAGUAAAGAGUAACGGGUAAGAGAGGCGAUUCAUUGUAAUAUAAGCAGGGAUAAUAACGGCAAUGACACUUCAACAAACACUUAAAGUAACAGUAACUGCAUACAGCACAGUACAGUACAGUACCCACCCACACAUCAAUCCAGUAACAGUUCUACUCGAACCCAUUAACAUUAGUCCUAGCGGUAACAGAGUAUAAUGGUGAACAAUAAGAGUACAAGUAACUUUAACGGUACAAGUAACUUUAACGAUAUCGGUAUUGGUAGGAUUUACGAGAAGCGAGAGUAUAGCGAUAGCCGGCAAUUAGUGAUCGAUAGACAGUUAGGAAAUCGGUCACAAGCAGCUAAUAAGCAACGCUGCAGGGGAGUUUUGUGAGUACCACAAAAAAUCAGGGAGCAGGAUGAAGGACUCAUAAGCACUACGAAAAGUAGUAAUAAAAUAAGGAAAUAGGGAUAGCGAUAGCGAUAGGAACAGGGAAGGAGCGCAAUCGAAUGCGACCCACGACAGACCUCAUCGGACAACCGACAAGACAAGCAUAACUGUAGUACAACCCUCAUAAAGAUAAAGACGAAAAAAAAACAGAUAAUAUAUAUAUUUAUUCUCACAUAUUUGCAUACAAUUUGUAACCGAAAUCGAAUCGAAAUUGAAGUUUGAGACACUAGAAUCGGCAGGAAAAUUUUGUCAUGGACCCAAGUCCAGAGCUAGAGAAAGGUAAAGAUGAAGAGGAGGUGACAGAGUAACAGAGAAUGUCAAAAUAUUUUUUUACGAGAAGGGAAUUUAAGCGGGAUCCACCGAUCCAAAGGAGGACAGAAGCGGCAGUCGUUGAGACGAAACAUGAGGAGUCGUCUUUUUUUGUACCGAUGCAUUAGUAUUCGGGAAUUAUGCCCUUUUAUUUGUAGUAUCCCCAUUUUGAGGUCCAGGUUGCAACCGAGAAAUUUAUUGUGCCACACAUUUGUGGGUCGUAAUCGGCUGUUAUCGAGACAAGCAUCACACUCAAUCAAGGGAACCAGAGACAAAACUAUAAAAACUCAUCUGAUUGGCAGGCAAUCCAACAGUACCCUCAAUAACACAACAAUAACACAAAUAUCUACACAUGCCCACACAUAUUCAGAAUAUACUCAAGCAUAUUAUAUGUAUAUCCGCAGCGAAUAAGGAAUAAGUGUCUACAGACUCAAAAGUUUUAAUCAAUGUAAACCACACAAUAAAUGUAAUUUGUAUGUACAAUCUGAGCUUACACAAAGGCAAAUAACAUCCAAUACCCAACUAAAUCCAAUCGAAUCGAAACGAAAAUCGAAGUUAAAUGUUAAUGUUCGGGUUGAAUAUUUAAUGUAACAUUAUACAAAUUUACUAUAUCAAAGCAAAGUUAAAGCUAACACCAAAUCAGAAGCAGCAGAUAAAAAAUAUGCAGAAUAAGAGGAAGUAGGAGAGGCAAAACAUCUUCACCAGAAGAAGUUGGAAAUAUUAAUUAACGAAGAAACUCAAAUUGAAAAUUUGCAAUUGUACCCAUUGCCAAACAGAGUUUGGGGAUGGAAUGGUAAGGACGGACAGACGAAUGAACAAACAAACAAUCAGUCAAUAUUGCAAUCAAUCAAGUGUGUUUCUAUAUAUGGCAUUUGGCCCUGUCAAUUUGGUCAAUGGCAUCCCACAGGAUGAUAAAGAAAUGGUAGAGAUGAAUGUUAUAUAGAGGUUAUCUUCCACAUUGCAAGCGCUCGAAUCGGGUUGCAACUACGUACAUAUGAAUAUACACAUACCAAUAUAUACAUAUACAUACAUGUUUAAAGAUAUGCAUAUACAAAAAAUACAUAUAUUGAACAAAAUGUAUCUCGAUGUGCCCAGAAUGUAUUUUAGACUUCAAUUUCCAUGUGUGUGUCUCAAUGCGGUAACCCAAAGUUAACUUUCACUUUCAAUGUGUGUUGAGAGAACAUUAACAGAAUAUACAUACAUAUACAGAUAUAUUUACCGAUCUAUAUCUAUACAAAGCAUGAAUAUACAGAUAUCUAUACAUAUAUGUUCAUACAUAGAUAUGUAUAUAUACAUGCAUAUAUUUAUAUAUUAUACACGGACAUAUGGAAGUAUCUCAAACUAUUUACAAGUCAGUGCGAUUCUUCUUGGUCGCAGUCCAUGUUUUUUGCUCAUCUUCCUAACUGUUGUUCGCGUUGCUCUAUCCAAUCCGCAUUAUACUUGUGUUACAAUAAAUGUGUAUACUCGUAGAAACAACCAAAUUAAAAAAAAAAAAAAAAACAAUACCAAAAAUAAUAAACAAUAAAUAAAAACAAAAAGGAGGAUGGCUGAAGUUGUCUUCGGGAAAACUAAAACUAACUCUGCAGA